UAUUGACUUUUGACCAUGUUUUGGUUGGUCAAUGGCGUGAAGCCUUUCCGCUGCCUCAAGAUAGCAAUACGCCAAGAAUGCACCUGAACACACCUCCCUGUAAGACCAGCACGCCCAUGGGCCACAGAUGGGUGCAGGUGCAUUUGCUAU
Molecule: long non-coding RNA, 150 nt
Organism: Sander lucioperca (pikeperch)
Lineage: Eukaryota; Metazoa; Chordata; Actinopteri; Perciformes; Percidae
Exons: 3
Source: RefSeq, a predicted model, not a curated record